AGUUUUGAAGCCAUUUUGGAUUGUGCAACAAGGCCGGCCUGCUUGGUUUUCUCGGGGAAUGAUUGUAGAAAUUCACAAAGAAUAUGUUCAGGGCGUUUCCUCUCUAAUUGGGACGUUUUGGGAGCAAUUAAAGGACUUCUGUGGAA
Etheostoma cragini (Arkansas darter) is the source of this 146-nucleotide long non-coding RNA. RefSeq lists it as uncharacterized. Lineage: Eukaryota; Metazoa; Chordata; Actinopteri; Perciformes; Percidae. The transcript is spliced from 3 exons. The record is from RefSeq and is a predicted model, not a curated record.